UACGGAGGAGGCAAGCGUUAUCCGGAAUCAUUGGGCGUAAAGCGUCCGCAGGUGGCAGUUCAAGUCCGCGGUCAAAGACCGGAGCUCAACUCCGGGAAGGCAGUGGAAACUGAAAAGCUAGAGGCCGGUAGGGGUAGCGGGAAUUCCCAGUGUAGCGGUGAAAUGCGUAGAGAUUGGGAAGAACAUCGGUGGCGAAAGCGCGCUACUGGGCCGGGCCUGACACUGAGGGACGAAAGCUAGGGGAGCGAAAGGG
RNAcentral lists this ribosomal RNA (253 nucleotides) under uncultured bacterium. RNAcentral describes it as "partial 16S ribosomal RNA". It matches the Rfam family "Bacterial small subunit ribosomal RNA", at positions 524 to 776 of the family's 1533-position model. The record is from RNAcentral.